RNAcentral lists this unclassified non-coding RNA (354 nucleotides) under soil metagenome. RNAcentral describes it as "partial contains 5.8S ribosomal RNA, internal transcribed spacer 2, and large subunit ribosomal RNA". The stretch from base 1 to 120 matches the Rfam family "5.8S ribosomal RNA", at positions 35 to 154 of the family's 154-position model. The record is from RNAcentral.
GAUGAAGAACGCAGCGAAAUGCGAUAAGUAGUGUGAAUUGGAGAAUUCAGUGAAUCAUCGAAUCUUUGAACGCACAUUGCGCCUCCUGGUAUUCCGGGAGGCAUGCCUGUUCGAGCGUCAUUAAAAUCACUCAAGCUUAGGUUUACCUAUUGCUUGGUCUUGGAGAUGGAAGCCAAUUCAUUGGAAUCCUCUUCGAAAUCCAAUGGCGAAGACCCUUGCUCUCCCAAGUGUAGUAAUAACUUAUGUCACUGAAGGAAGCGAGAAAUCUUCCGCCGUAACCCCCAUAUUUUCUAUGAUUGACCUCGGAUCAGGUAGGGAUACCCGCUGAACUUAAGCAUAUCAAUAAGCGGAGGA